AUGGACUCUUACAUGAAACAGUCCAUAGAUCCAGCUGAGGCUCUUGUUCUUCCUGAAUUGAAAUCCACCAAACGGACCUCAUUCCAAGGCAAACAGGAGUGGCGACCCUCUCUGAUAUUCUCCAGCUCACCCGGACGACUCCACUGACACGAACAGCUCAGCCCUGCAGAAAUAGUGAAGUAUGUUGCAGAGGGUUGGACUAGAUGACCCUUGGAGCCUCUUCUGAUUCUAUGAUUCUAUGAAAUUACAUCAUUGCCACAGGAUUUGACUCCUCCCACUGCAAGCCUGGGAGACAACAGGGGAGCAUCAAAGACUUGAAGGGCAUGCAAAAAAAGAGUCUUGAACCUAUGCCAAGCAAUUUGUUCUGGCUUUAAUCAAGAUGUCAUCUUUUAACUCCAAAUGUCAUUCUUAUUAUUAUUAUUAAUCCCGUAUCAAAACUUUGAGCAGCAUACUGCAGCAUGAAUAAAUGCUACCCGUCAUUUAAACUUUCAGCAAUGUUUCAAAGCCUUGCAAAUGAGUGAUAGCCAUUUAUAUUUGUAUUCAUGCAUGUGUAUAUUCAUCAAAGUGAUGCAGUUAACAAGCUGGUAAAAGACAAAGUGAAUAGCAACAAAGAAACUGGUGAAUUAUAAGUUUUUAACUUUGUAAAAGCUAAUGCAGAACAACUUGAUUGUUAAUUUUGUAGUCUCUUUUUGCCCAAAGAGAACACUCUUUUCUUUCCAUCUCUCUCUUUACUCACUGUCAUCAGCAUCCUGCCAUUUUGGAAUCUUAAAUUAUUCCCCCUCUAAGAAAAGUGUCAUAAGUGAUGACACAGAGAAUACUCAAAUAAUCGGCUGAAUUGCUCAAGCAUUAAAUAUUAGAGCAGGGAUGUCCAACC
This is a long non-coding RNA of Podarcis raffonei (Aeolian wall lizard), 874 nucleotides long. RefSeq lists it as uncharacterized. The transcript is spliced from 3 exons. The record is from RefSeq and is a predicted model, not a curated record. NCBI's taxonomy places the organism in Eukaryota, Metazoa, Chordata, Lepidosauria, Squamata, Lacertidae.